This 466-nucleotide ribosomal RNA is filed under the name uncultured bacterium. Its description in RNAcentral is "partial 16S ribosomal RNA". It matches the Rfam family "Bacterial small subunit ribosomal RNA", at positions 36 to 507 of the family's 1533-position model. The record is from RNAcentral.
GCCUCCCUCUUUCUUCGUGCUUAACACAUGCAAGUCGAACGGAAAGGCCCAGCUUGCUGGGUACUCGAGUGGCGAACGGGUGAGUAACACGUGGGUGAUCUGCCCUGCACUCUGGGAUAAGCCUGGGAAACUGGGUCUAAUACCGGAUAUGACCGACUGUCGCAUGGUGGUUGGUGGAAAGCUUUUGCGGUGUGGGAUGGGCCCGCGGCCUAUCAGCUUGCUGGUGGGGUAAUGGCCUACCAAGGCGACGACGGGUAGCCGACCUGAGAGGGUGAUCGGCCACACUGGGACUGAGACACGGCCCAGACUCCUACGGGAGGCAGCAGUGGGGAAUAUUGCACAAUGGGCGCAAGCCUGAUGCAGCGACGCCGCGUGAGGGAUGACGGCCUUCGGGUUGUAAACCUCUUUCACCAGGGACGAAGCGUGAGUGACGGUACCUGGAGAAGAAGCACCGGCCAACUACGUG